UACAGAGGGGGCAAGCGUUGUUCGGAUUUACUGGGCGUAAAGGGCGCGUAGGCGGCUUGGCAAGUCACUUGUGAAAUCUCCGGGCUUAACUCGGAACGGUCAAGUGAUACUGCCUGAGCUAGAGUGCAGAAGGGGCAAUCGGGAAUUCUUGGUGUAGCGGUGAAAUGCGUAGAUAAUCAAGAGGAACACCAGAGGCGAAGGCGGAUGCUGGGCUGACACUGACGCUGAGGCGCGAAAGCUAGGGUAGCAAACGGG
Molecule: ribosomal RNA, 255 nt
Filed under: uncultured bacterium
Lineage: Bacteria
Description: partial 16S ribosomal RNA
Rfam family: Bacterial small subunit ribosomal RNA
Source: RNAcentral